AGCGAACGCUGGCGGCAGGCUUAACACAUGCAAGUCGAACGGUCCUUCGGGAUAGUGGCGGACGGGUGAGUAACACGUGGGAACGUACCCUUAGGUUCGGAACAACACAGGGAAACUUGUGCUAAUACCGAAUAAGCCCUUCGGGGGAAAGAUUUAUCGCCUUUGGAGCGGCCCGCGUCUGAUUAGCUUGUUGGUGAGGUAAUGGCUCACCAAGGCUACGACCAGUAGCUGGUCUGAGAGGAUGGCCAGCCACACUGGGACUGAGACACGGCCCAGACUCCUACGGGAGGCAACAGUGGGGAAUCUUGCGCAAUGGGCGAAAGCCUGACGCAGCCAUGCCGCGUGGAUGAUGAAGGUCUUAGGAUUGUAAAAUCCUUUCACCGGGGACGAUAAUGACGGUACCCGGAGAAGAAGCCCCGGCUAACUUCGUGCCAGCCGCCGCCGUAA
RNAcentral lists this ribosomal RNA (447 nucleotides) under uncultured bacterium. RNAcentral describes it as "partial 16S ribosomal RNA". It matches the Rfam family "Bacterial small subunit ribosomal RNA", at positions 29 to 523 of the family's 1533-position model. The record is from RNAcentral.